ACCGUCUUUUCACGUGUUGGACCGUUGCGUGGUCGUCGCUGGUUGGCCCGUUGGCGGAUGAGGUGAGGGCAGCAGCCUCUUCGUCCUCCCAUUCGCCCCCUCCCCCCUCUCUCCAUUGCCCGAUCUCCUCUCCAAGCCGCCAGCACACCCCCUGCCAUCGCGCCGCCGUCGUCGUUCCCGCUCGUCCCGGCCCCCAUCCUCGACCUCCCUUUUCGUUCUUCCCCACACCGUGUCCGUGCCGCGCGGGGUGGCGCUACAGGACCUGCUCGCGCGCCUCGCCGACGCCACCGGCCCGCACUUCCCGGUCAGGUACCAGCUCCCUGACAAGGGCCUCGACGCGCUCAUCUUGGUCUCCUCACCCAAGGAUCUCGACGGCCCCAAGCUGCGGGUCUUCAUCUUCCCAUCUCCAACGUGGCGGCGGGGGAUGAGGGUGGUGAGGGCAGCGCCGGGUUUGACGCCGCUCACGACGCCGGACGCGGCGGUGCGGCCGCAUGUGGGCUGCCUCCCCGGCCUUCCGCAUGCAGCUCUUCCUGCUCCGCUCUCUCGUGCCCACCUGCGUAGAUGACGGCCACGCCUCCUCGAGCUAUCUUCGUCCCCGCGCGAUGUAUGCAACAUCGGCGGACGCGGAGUCGGUGAUCCAGCGAAUCACGCCUCCGCUCGAUCGCGCAAGGCACAAGGGUCAGACAGAUAUGUUUUGAGAUUUCCCUAGAGCCGACCAAUAAAACAACACUAGUUUAUAUAACACAUCGUUUCUUCACAAUUUGACUACUACGGUCACCGAAUCCUUGGAACAGGUAACCAGCCAAGGUUGCUUCAGCUAUGUAGAUUUUUUUCUCAAAGCUAAAUUUGUUUUGUUAGAUGAUGAUAAGCAUCAUAUCUGGCAGUUAUGUGGAGUAGGAAUAUUUCUGUAGCACUCAGUGUUUAUUUGCACCUUUUGUUUGUUUACAUUGCAAAGUUUUGGAACGUUUCAUUUUAUAGCCAUCCCUAUCGUCUAUCGAUUAUUUUGUUUCUUCCGAAAGGCUGCCUCCUUUGAUUUGUGUUGUUAAUGUAGUAUUGAGUUUCAUGAUUGAAUGUUGUCUUGCCCUUGUGUUUCAGCGACAUCAUGUAUGGUAACAUAAGAAUGGUAUUUUGUUACUACUUCGCCCUUAAGUAGUGUGUCUUACUCAAUAUAGUUGUCUAAUUUUAGCUCAUCCAUGUGCAAAGGUGGAUUCUAGCUUGAUGUGAUCAUAUGUGAUGUCUAUGUCCUGCUUUUAUUUCCUCUUUGUUUUCCAAUGAUGCCUUGCAUUGCUUUGCCUGCAUAAAGUUCACUUCCUCGGCACAUUUUAGUUCACAGGAGGUAGUUCUGGUUAAUUUUCUUUGUCUCCUGCAUUUUUGUGCAGAUCAAUUCCUACUCAUGUUUUACCCUUGCAUUUGGCAAUGAAUGGAUUGAAAGAUACCGAUCAUUGCUAUGUUGUGCCAGUUGUCUGUAGGAGCUUGCUUUCGAGUUGUUUUACUACCUUAAGAAGUAUCUUGGUAGUUGUUGAUUGACUUGAGUAGCCCUUAGAAGAGUUUAUUUAUUUUCCUUAAGUAUCUUGCUUGCAUCAAGUGGUUAGAUACUUUUACAUUUUAUAUACCUACGUGUUGCUUGGUUGUGUCCUUCGACUGGCACUUGGGAAAUUACUUGAGCUGCAGUGCACCACCAUGCCUCAUUGAGCUCCCUAAUUUGGCUAGAACAGAGGUCUACAACUAAGGGCUACUGUAUUUACAUUUUAUAUACAUGUGAAAGUUAUCUUUGUGAUUCGCUUCGGUUAGCAUCGAUUUCAAUGCAUAUGUCUUCCUUUCUCUUGUCAGUAGUGCAAUAUACUUCUAUUAAAUGAGAAAUAAUCCAGAGCAAUUCCUUCCAUUGUAUAUGAAGCUCUGCUAGGUUCCGAACAUAAAGAUCUCUUAUUACAGUGUAAACUGCUAGCAGAGCUACAUAGCGGAGUACAGAGUUGAUGUGAAGCUCUGCUAAGUUCCAAACAGAAAGAUCAACCCUAUUCUAAGGUUCAAUAUAUGAUUCUUUCUUUCAGUGUUCUUCCUUGAAAAUAAUCAAUGAUCAAAUCAUCUUCUUAGGUAUUGAUUUUUCUUUCUCAUGUUAAGCUAGCAUUUUGGUGCCGUGUAUUUCUAGAUUGUGCUCCUGCUAACUUGGCCCCCGUACUAAAGAUGCAUGGCUUGAUUUUAAAGUUAUGGUUAUGAACACAAAGCUAAUUUCUUGUGAAUUAAUCCCUAGAAUCUCUCUUUCGGCAGGUUCUUAUUUAUCUAUGCCUAUAUGUUGUUCCAUGAAAAUACAAGUAGACUCCAAGGUGGUGCUGCUUGGAUCUGGGGGAGCACUGGUGAGCCAUCCCUUCUCCGCCACCAUCCCUGAUUUCUUUGUGUGCAGUACAUAUGCAUGUUGUUUUAGAGCUACCCCCGUAUACAUCUGAUUAGUGAUUAACUUGCUGCAAAGAAGCCGUGUAGUCAUGAAAGUUGAACCAUGCCUGAAUUAGAAAUGACAGUUUUGUUGAUUUGCCUACUUUAUCUCAAGAACACGCCAUCCAUUGAUAUUUUCUAUAGAUCUUAGCUUCACUGUUCGAGUCUCUCGUGAGUGCAUUAAUCCCAAUCUGACACAAGAUAUUAUUCUUUGUUCCCCUUUCAUUUUGUUACUUACUUGUAGAGAGAAUGGAUCUUAAUUUUGAUUUUAUGAAUAGCCACAUCAAUUCUCUGAUUGUGGCACACACAAAUAAUUAGCUCUCUUCACUUCGAUUUGAAUUUGAGAGUAAUCAGUAGAGGAUUGGAUUCAUGGUCGCAAGAUCUCUAAGAUCGAUUAACUUGCUUUUAAUAUUAUAUGAAGUUCAAAUCCCUUUAUAUUCCAAGACAAGAAACACUGAGUUGUAAAACUCUGUCAGUGUUGAAUAGUGUAACAAAACACAUAUUGGGAUAAUUCUACUUUAAUUUGUUUGCCAUACUUACCAGCUCACCUGAUUUACCAGCUGUAAGCUUCAUUGAUCCAAAACCAUUUUAGCCAUCAUGAGAUCGAAGUUUGUAGGCCCCCCUUGAAUAAGCUAACGUUUCCACCUUAUUGUGGGUACCACGAAAACAUUAAUAAUAAGAGGCACAAACAAAUAUUAUUUUGUUUGUUUAGAUGAUGCAUUUCGUAACGUAUCAUGCAUUGAAAUAAUGAAUCCCUUGCUAUGUAGUAUUAUUUGUGCAAUUCCAUGCUACUCUGGGUGGAAGUUAUGUAUUAAUACUUUCAGUAUUGAUGGAUGGAUAGAUGUAUUGUGGUAAUAUAUAUUUUUGGGCACCCUGUGUGAUAAUAUUUUGAGAGAGUCUACCUCGAGAGAAUUACAUGAUGCAAGGGGUAUAACUUCGGUUCAGAUUCUUAUACAUAGUUCUCCUUAUAAUGUAGACUGUGACGUAUGAUGCUUCCAUGGCUUAGUUCAAGGAAUGACUGAUGCUAUUUUCUUGCCUAUGGGUUUGGGCUACUAAUUUUUAUUGCCAUAAUUUAUUGUUUGUCAUCUAAAAAGGAUUCAGAGGGAUACAAAGGGUCCUCUAAUUUGCAACCGAUUAAACUGCUUGGUUCCUGAUUCAUAUUUGUUUUUCUAUAUUAUGGACAACCGAUUAAGAAUAUUUACAGAGUAGGAGUCUUCGUUUGAUGCCACAUUUGACAUCACCCAGUUUGUGUGUAGGGUGCUUAAUAAGUUUCUUGAGAUGUAUGCACUGCAUGAAGGAGCACAUUUCUGUCAAUUUUACUAGAGGUCAAGGUUACCUUCAAAUGCAUGUAGUUAUUUGUAAGCUUCAACAGCUUGAAUGCAAUGGAAGUUUGGAUUGAAAGGAUUUUUGGUUGGCUAUAAGGAAGAGAGUAGUUGAUGGCCAUUUGUACUGUUGUUGUGGUCGUCCUUGGCGCAGAAGGGGUGGCGGGGGAGGCACAGAGAUGGGGCAAACCUUUCACUGUGUCUAAUCCACUUGAUUCCAUCAUUUUCUAUGAGAUGCACCAAUGAUUGUAACGAAUCUUCACGCUUUGUACUAAACCUUUACUACUAUGUAUUUUGUUUGCUCCUAUGUCAUGAGAAAUUCCAAAUGUUGGAUUUGUGCCUGGCACAUGCCGCGAGCCGGCUCAGUUGUCCCGGGCCUUGCUUUUGGAACAAAUGUUUGCUUACCUUGCUUUUGCUAUAUCUUCACCAUUUGUGAUGUACCAAACGUUUUCUUAAUCUGUAUGCUCUAAACUCGGUUUUCCUGGGCAACAACUAUAUACCUUACUUUCAGUAUAUCUCUAGUGUUUGUGAUUUGUACAUAACACAUUUGGCUUGACCAGUUAUUCUAAUUUCCUCUGAAUGUACAAAAUGCUAUGUUGGAGUUU
RNA transcript from Triticum aestivum (bread wheat), 4354 nucleotides. It is a transcript of the gene named ATP-dependent (S)-NAD(P)H-hydrate dehydratase, with no coding region annotated. NCBI's taxonomy places the organism in Eukaryota, Viridiplantae, Streptophyta, Magnoliopsida, Poales, Poaceae. The record is from RefSeq and is a predicted model, not a curated record. The transcript has 2 exons.